UUCUGUUAAAUAUUACACCAGCUUCCACAGAAAACUAGUAAGUUUCCAUCACUUCCACAGAAGACUGCUUCUUUCAAAAAGAGAUCAAUCUUGAUGUCUUAACGGUUAUUCAAUGGUUCUGUAUUUAGUAUUAAUCUCUCUCUUUCAAACAAACAGGUUUGCCAUGACUGCCAGUCAGGAAACUAUUAAAAUAACAGAUGCAGUCUUGUAUUGUGAAUCUGAUAUCAGUCUUCUUAUCUGAUAUAGAAUGAGCUGUAAGGGCUUGCCCACAAUCAGGGCAUUUCUUCUACCCAGGCACAAAUAAUAAUAUAUGGAUUACACACAGGAUCAUAUUUACAAGAUUCUUUUAAGGUUCAAAUAAGUUCACAUUGUACACGUUUAGAUCUUUCAGUUUUAUUAUGUCUUAAAGAUACUUUUGGUUUUGGAUAUUUUUAUGGGGCUAUAGUACCCAAGAUCCAGUGGAUGUGGAGCUUGGGCCAAGGCAGAUAAGACUAAUGGCCAGUGUCAUGGAUCCACCAAUGAUGUCAGUCCGAGCAGCUGGCAUUCCGGGGCCUCACCGCUCUCCAGUCCAUAAGUCCUCUCCAGAGCCUGCUUCAGUUCAUGAAUCCGCUCCAGAGCCCACUCAAGCCCCAGAGCUCAGUCCUGUGUUGGCGUCAACCUGUGAGUUUCCAUCCUGUCCUGUUUUGACCACAGUGGUCACGCCCAAGGAGGCCAGCCCUGAACUCUCUGCCAGUCCUGCCAUGACCAAGGAGGCCACUCACAAACUCUCUGUCUGUUGCUGCCACUGAUAGGAUUCAAGGUUACUCUGCCUGUUCUGUCACAGCCAGGUGGUCUGUCCAUGUCUCUGCUCUACCAUGGCCUCCUGACCUGUGGUGGUCUUCUGCUCUGCAGGCUUCACCUUGGUCACCUGCUCUGCUCUGGUCACCUGCUCCACCGGUUCCACCCUGGUGGUCAUUUGCUCCACCGUUAGGAUCUUCUGUCCCACCUGCUCUGCCCUGGUAGUCUUUGGCUUGCCCUGGCUUCCUGCUCUGCCGGCUCUACCAUGCUCUCCACUACUGCUCCAUGGACAAGGUCCUCCAUUACUCCAUGGUCCAGGCCCACCUCUGCUCCACAGUCCAUGGUUUCUGUCAUUGCUAAACGGUCCAGGCCCAUCUCUGCUCCACGGCCCAUGGUCUUGCCCACUGCUCCCCAGUCCAUAGUUUCCAUCAUUGUUCCACGGUCUAGGCCAGCCACUGCUCCACAGUCCAAGCCAUGAUCCAGGUCCUAUUCUCCUUCAAGGGCCUGGCCCCUGUUCCACCUCCGCAUGUGUGUUUCCCUUGCCCUUAUG
Long non-coding RNA from Cyprinus carpio carpio, 1327 nucleotides. The record is from Ensembl. NCBI's taxonomy places the organism in Eukaryota, Metazoa, Chordata, Actinopteri, Cypriniformes, Cyprinidae.